UGAUGUUAGCGGCGGACGGGUGAGUAACACGUGGGUAACCUGCCUGUAAGACUGGGAUAACUCCGGGAAACCGGGGCUAAUACCGGAUGGUUGUUUGAACCGCAUGGUUCAGACAUAAAAGGUGGCUUCGGCUACCACUUACAGAUGGACCCGCGGCGCAUUAGCUAGUUGGUGAGGUAACGGCUCACCAAGGCGACGAUGCGUAGCCGACCUGAGAGGGUGAUCGGCCACACUGGGACUGAGACACGGCCCAGACUCCUACGGGAGGCAGCAGUGGUCAUAGCUGGUUUCCUG
RNAcentral lists this ribosomal RNA (294 nucleotides) under Bacillus sp. SK2.3. Its description in RNAcentral is "partial 16S ribosomal RNA". It matches the Rfam family "Bacterial small subunit ribosomal RNA", at positions 87 to 357 of the family's 1533-position model. Lineage: Bacteria; Bacillati; Bacillota; Bacilli; Caryophanales; Bacillaceae. The record is from RNAcentral.